UCUUUCAGAUCAUGCCUCCUAGAUCUGGAACACAAGGAAAUUCUUCCAUCUCAUCCGGUGAUAAUGCUGAAGGGGUACAUCCUACAUUUGGAGUGCAUCUUUUAUCUCAUUAUCCUAUUCCUGAUGGUGCUGGAGUUCCUCCUAUUCUGACUAGUUCUCCUCAGGUCCCUCAAGGAAAUAUGACGAAUACAGAAUUUUUUUAGUCUAAUUAUGUUAUUGCCCAACUGGUUACUGCUCAA
Molecule: long non-coding RNA, 239 nt
Filed under: Capsicum annuum
Lineage: Eukaryota; Viridiplantae; Streptophyta; Magnoliopsida; Solanales; Solanaceae
Description: long non-coding RNA (CANN_LNC015844)
Source: RNAcentral